Molecule: long non-coding RNA, 2444 nt
Organism: Astatotilapia calliptera (eastern happy)
Lineage: Eukaryota; Metazoa; Chordata; Actinopteri; Cichliformes; Cichlidae
Source: Ensembl
GUUAAAUUCACCUUGUGUUCCUUGUAUGUUGUUAUCUGUGUGUCUUCCUCUUUUUUGUGUGCUUCUUAAGUCAGAAAAUAAUUUCCUCUGAAGAAGUGCUGCUUCAGUUCUUUCUUUGACCUUGUGAUUUCCAUUGAAAGUGAAGGAAGGGUGAUUAGAAAGCAAGGUAGGAAAUUUUUUGUGUUAGCCUGGUGAAGGCAUGGCAAACUGUCCACGGUGUUCCUCGCCUUUUGCCCUAUGUCAGCUUGGCUUGGCUAUAGCUCUGCACAACCCUAAACUGAAUAAGCUGUUAAAAAAAUGGAUUGAUGGAUUGAGAUUAUCUGUCCCACUUUUGCUUGUUUCACCUUUCUCUCAUUAGUUUAUUGCAUUUAUAACCCAACAUUCCUUUUUUCACUCUGUCUGUUCACCCACCUGUUUGCUGGCCUGUGUUCUUUUCUAGUGUUCUUUCUAAUGCCUGUUUAAGGAUAUCUUCUCAUUUCUUCUGUGCAGAAAUGUGUGUUUUGGGGGACUUCAAGGUUUUACUAGCUUCCGAUUACAGCUUCUAUUUUUUUUCUUUUUUACCCAACUAUUACAUCUUGGAUUUGAAUCCUUUUUUUUUUAUAAACCACAUCAGUAAGAGCUCUGUUUUUCUGUUUGCCUUUGUAAUGGUCCCUUGUUUUUCAUUUUGUUAGACCAGCUAAGUGAGUUAUGUCUUGUUUCAUUUGCUUUUUUAAAUUUUCUGUUUGACUGACCUCUUUUAAAGGCCCAGAUAUUUUGUAUUUUUGUUUUUUUUUUACCACAAUUUGGGGGGGAUAAAAACCAUUUUUGAUCAGUAAAUCCUAACCCUUUAGCUGAACUAUAAAGUUUAGAAAAUACUAUACUCCCACACCAAACCUUCCAAAUAAAUGCUGUUAACAAGUCCUGUGAAACAACAAAAUUCUAAACAGCAUUUUCCUUUUAUCUAAAGAUGUAUUUUACAUUGUACAUGGAUAGCAUAUGGUAAAAUAUAACACUGUGUAGUAGUUUUAAUUUGUUAACUACAGUACUAUUAUUUACUAUUUACCACUACUAUUAUUAUUUUUAAGCAUUAUACACUUGCAAACAGGUUACACUGUAGAUUUAAAACGGUAAAAAAAUGAGAUUUUGAGCGCUAUCGGCAGCUGAUGUACAGCUCAUUUCUGUUUGCAAGGGGCUGAAGGCCGCUGAAUAAUUGAAACUGUGGAUGUACAGCCACAGCACUGGGCUGGCUGUGAUGGAGCCUGGCUGAACAAACCGAGAACAGCAGGAGCGUUUUAGCAGCCUGGCUGCCGCUCUGUGAUGCCACCUCUAGUCUGGCAGGGACAGAUCGCUGUGUAACGAGCCUCAUUAUAACACAACUCCUUCGCCACAUCAAAGGCUUCCCUUUUUAUACCAGGAGUGGGAUCACAAUCCUUGGGAUAUUUCAGCACCUACUCCGUCCCCAAACCUUCACAUCUCCCUUUCUGGGAGCAGGAGGAGGCAAAGUCAAAGUUUUGGGUCAGUUUUAGAUGGCUGCUGCUGAGUAGUGGUGGCGGUGCUGAUUAAUACUGAAUUAUGAUAAUGAUCUGGAGGAUGGGAAAAGGGCAGAUGAGGCUUCUUAUUAUCUCCCCUGCUCAGGUGAUGAUAGAUCCAGGUUCUGCUGCUCUCUGACAUUGAAAAGGGACAGGGACUGACUUUUUCAUUUUGUCAAGUCAGCAGGCCCCAAACCAGGAUGAUGCAUUUUUUUUUUUUUUGGGCCAAUGCCAUUGUCCGUUUUUUGGUCAGGGCAUUCAUGCUGGAUUGUAAAUAUCUUAGGGAGGAGACUGUGACCUCGUUUCCACCUGAUCUCCCCCAAACACACACUCACAUAUGCACCUCUCCUCUGUCCUGCAUUACUCUAAUUGGAGCUCAGGGUAUGCAGGCGUUGCCAGACACUACAUUGCCCUCUCUCUGUCUGUGUCUUUCCAUGUCAAAGUCACUUUUCAGUCUGUCACAUCUCCUUCUCUCUUUGUCUGACAGAGGCCUAACUGCUAGUUUUAUUUAAUGUUUUGCUUCAUUCUUUUUGAGGAUGUUGGGCUCUCUGGUGGAUAUCUUCUUACAGAUAGAGACAUUGACCUUUGAAUUUAAAAGUCACUUAAAAAAAGUCUUCUGAUUCUCCUUUUUCCUAAAAGUUAGAGGAAGUUCUUCCCUACUGAAGGUUAACCAGAUGGAAAAGUAUAUAUUAUUUAUUUCUACAUUAUUCUGGAUGUUUCCUUGAUCACUGAUUCAUGAAAUUCUAAAUCCAGUUCAACCAUACACAAUCAAUACAAACUUUGCUGCAUCUGCAGUCUCAUAUACUAACUGAACACACAAUGUACAGUACAAAAGCAGCAGAAAAUAUGGUGGAAAUGCAAUGCUGUUUAUUAUAUCUAAUGACUGUUUUGCAUAAGACAAUGAGUCUUAUUGGGCCAACCACUUUUUUACUUCAC